GUUAAAAAGCUCGUAGUCGGAUUUCGGGGCGGGGCGACCGGUCUGCCGAUGGGUAUGCACUGGUCGGCGCGUCCUUCCUUCCGGAGACCGUGCCUACUCUUAACUGAGCGGGGGCGGGAGACGGAUCGUUUACUUUGAAAAAAUCAGAGUGUUUCAAGCAGGCGUCUCGCCUUUGCAUGGAUUAGCAUGGGAUAAUGAAAUAGGACUUUGGUGCUAUUUUGUUGGUUUCGAACACCGAAGUAAUGAUUAACAGGGACAGUCAGGGGCACUCGUAUUCCGUCGAGAGAGGUGAAAUUCUCAGACCAAUGGAAGACGAACAACUGCGAAAGCAUUUGCCAGGGAUGUUUUCACUGAUCAAGAACGAAAGUUAGGGGAUCGAAGACGAUCAGAUACCGUCGUAGUCUUAACCAUAAACCAUGCCGACUAGGGAUCGGAGGAUGUUAGAUUUGACUCCUUCGGCACCUUACGGGAAACUAAAGUCUUUGGGUUCCGGGGGGAGUAUGGUCGCAAGGCUGAAACUUAAAGGAAUUGACGGAAGGGCACCACCAGGAGUGGAGCCUGCGGCUUAAUUUGACUCAACACGGGGAAACUUACCAGGUCCAGACAUUGUAAGGAUUGACAGAUUGAGAGCUCUUUCUUGAUUCGAUGGGUGGUGGUGCAUGGCCGUUCUUAGUUGGUGGAGUGAUUUGUCUGGUUAAUUCCGUUAACGA
Molecule: ribosomal RNA, 710 nt
Filed under: uncultured marine eukaryote
Lineage: Eukaryota
Description: SSU rRNA
Rfam family: Eukaryotic small subunit ribosomal RNA
Source: RNAcentral